UUGUAUAAGCGUUAUAUUCCUUAAAAGGAAAAAGGCAUCGUUAGGGGCUUGGCUAAAACAUUAUCAGAGUUUGCAACGGAAGGCGUAACUGAAAUAAUCAGUGUUUACAGCGGAAUGCAUAACUGAGAUACAUGUAUGAAGACAUGUAUCCUUUCUGAGCCUACUUUAAGUUCAACAAAAACUCCACUCAGCAACAACACUUCAUCGCCCAUCACAGCUCAACCUGCACAAACAUAAACAUACGAAGGGCUGAGUACAAGAGUACUCAGUGGGCAGUGCCAAGCAUAUAACAUAACAUCAUUAACAAUUUCACAAUAUCGCAUAAGAGGCAUGAGUUUCUUUCAAAUCCUUUGCUCAUUAAACAUUUCCAUAUUCAUAAACAGGAUGAGCGCAUUCUUCAUCAUUAACAAUCAUCAACACGCAUCGUGUCGUGGAGAAGGCCUUCCCCAACGAACACGGGCAUCGCACCGUGAAGGGGAGCCUCCCUCAGCGGUCACGGCAUCGUACUAUUGAGGGAGGCCUCCCCCAAUAGACGCUGUAACACUGGCAUACUGGCAUACUGGCAUCGCGCCGCGAGAGAGGCCUCUCUCAGCGGACACGGGCAUCGCGCCGUGAGGAAGGCCCUCCUCAGCGGACACGGCAUCGUACUGUUGAGGGAGGCCUCCCCCAACAGACGCAAGCAUCAAACAUAAGCAUAAACUUAUCAGCGUAAAGCAUUCAAGCGUAAAUAAGCGUAAUCAAGCGUAAAUCAUUUAGCGUAAAGCAUAAUAAAGCAUACCACACUUGAAGAUCCAAUUUGCAUUUUAAAGCAUAACACAUGCAUAGCAUUUUAUUUACGCGUAAGAAAUUGCCCACCUGAUAGCAAAGUUCUGCUAAGGUACUCUAACUCCUUGUGUAGUUCUUACUCUCGCGCUUGACCUUAAUAACGAGAAUAUAAAAUAAGACAUUGCCUCGAGGAAAAUUCUUAAUUAAUGAGAAAGCGUAAUUUAACUAUGCAUGAAUCCGGUAUGCAUGAUCUAAUACUCUGAGCGAUAAUCGGGAAUUCUACUAUUAAUCCUCGUUAAUAGAUUUAGCUAAUUCUCGUCUAGCGCGGUCGAAUAAAGCUGUGAUUCUUCCUUUCCCAUCGGAAUAUUCUAAUUGUAAAAUAGAUCUCGCAUUUGUACUCG
RNAcentral lists this long non-coding RNA (1166 nucleotides) under Salvia miltiorrhiza (redroot sage). RNAcentral's name for it is "long non-coding RNA (SMIL_LNC006582)". The record is from RNAcentral. Lineage: Eukaryota; Viridiplantae; Streptophyta; Magnoliopsida; Lamiales; Lamiaceae.